Molecule: long non-coding RNA, 738 nt
Filed under: Setaria italica (foxtail millet)
Lineage: Eukaryota; Viridiplantae; Streptophyta; Magnoliopsida; Poales; Poaceae
Description: long non-coding RNA (SITA_LNC001715)
Source: RNAcentral
CCCUCGAGCCUUGGAAUGAUUAAAUAAUCAAUCCGAGGAUUUUUAGUCUUCACGCAUGUCGUCUUUUAAGUAGUUUUGCAGCAUCCAGCCUCUGAGCUUAUGUGCCAGGUGAGCCGUAGGAGCCAUGUUGAGUAGUUAUUUGGCGCUUAGCCCUCGAGCUUAAGAGCUAGCGGAGCUGCUGAAGGUAUUCUGAGUAGUAAUGGGUACUUAGCCCUCGAGCUAGGAGCUAGCGCAGCCAUUGGAGGUACGCUGAGCGUCCUGGAGAGUCGUCGCCGAUGCUUGAUCUGCAAAAAGAGAUGCAUACAUUAUGUAGCAUAUUUGUAGAAUUUUGAAACUACUGAAAUUUAUUCAGUGGUAAAUGUAAUGUAAAUGUUUGUGUCAUGCUCUUGUUUCGGCCAUAGUUUUCCCGAGUAGUUAGCCUAUUACGUUUAGACUCUCAGUCUCUGUUUAGCCACCGACACUGCGUGUUAGAUCUUUGUCUUGUGUACAUGUACUAGCACUACUACUACGGAGAUCUUUAUCUCACGUUCUAGCGUUUAGGCAUGACAGAAGAUCCGAGGCUUUCACGAAUUAAGGCGUAUUUUUCUCGAGGAGAUUAGCAAUCGCUAAGAGAAGACAACAAAAAUAAGUAGUCGACAUUACGACAAAAAGAGAGCACGAUUGUGCGUAAAGUAAUCAUUGGAAUUUUUCUACCUUUUUGGUGAGGAGAGUGCGUGUUGCCACGCAUAGUAUUUGUAC